Molecule: long non-coding RNA, 348 nt
Organism: Sorghum bicolor (sorghum)
Lineage: Eukaryota; Viridiplantae; Streptophyta; Magnoliopsida; Poales; Poaceae
Exons: 2
Source: RefSeq, a predicted model, not a curated record
AAUUUUAUCUGCAGCUAGGCUAAAGAGUGAUGAAACUAUAGCCACUUGUCAUGAGUGAUGGCGAAUCAUUUACAGUCGCAACUCUCAUGAAGGUGACACAUCAGAAGCCAAAUCAGAAGCAUUCUCCCCAAAAAAGAGCAUUGGGCGAGGUUCCACUGGUGCAUUGUCAGAAUAGAUUCUAAAGCCACAAGCACACGUCUUACUCAUCUGAUCCAUGUGGUUUAGCCAUGUGAAUGCUUGCUAACAUUCUAUCUACACAAACAAUUGGUACUUGCAAGUUCACACCAGACUAUAACUAUUCAAAACAAAGUGCUGCUGCAAAUUAAAUACAUGUGUGCUUCAGCAAUA